RNAcentral lists this ribosomal RNA (2812 nucleotides) under Ralstonia solanacearum. RNAcentral's name for it is "bacterial LSU rRNA". It matches the Rfam family "Bacterial large subunit ribosomal RNA". The record is from RNAcentral. Lineage: Bacteria; Pseudomonadati; Pseudomonadota; Betaproteobacteria; Burkholderiales; Burkholderiaceae.
UCAAGCGAAUAAGUGCAUGUGGUGGAUGCCUUGGCGAUCACAGGCGAUGAAGGACGUAGUAGCUUGCGAAAAGCUGCGGGGAGCUGGCAAACGAGCUUUGAUCCGCAGAUGUCCGAAUGGGGAAACCCGGCCCGUAUGGGUCAUCCCUUGCUGAAUACAUAGGCAAGGGAGGCGAACGCAGUGAACUGAAACAUCUAAGUAGCUGCAGGAAAAGAAAUCAACCGAGAUUCCCAAAGUAGUGGCGAGCGAAAUGGGAACAGCCUUGUACUCUUUAGCAGUAUUGUUAGCGGAACGGAAUGGAAAGUCCGGCCAUAGUGGGUGAUAGCCCCGUACGCGAAAACAGUAUUGUGGAACUAGGUGUACGACAAGUAGGGCGGGACACGUGAAAUCCUGUCUGAAGAUGGGGGGACCAUCCUCCAAGGCUAAAUACUCGUGAUCGACCGAUAGUGAACCAGUACCGUGAGGGAAAGGCGAAAAGAACCCCGGGAGGGGAGUGAAAUAGAUCCUGAAACCGCAUGCAUACAAACAGUCGGAGCCUGGAAACGGGUGACGGCGUACCUUUUGUAUAAUGGGUCAGCGACUUACAUUCAGUGGCAAGCUUAACCGAUUAGGGAAGGCGUAGCGAAAGCGAGUCCGAAUAGGGCGUUCAGUCGCUGGGUGUAGACCCGAAACCAAGUGAUCUAUCCAUGGCCAGGUUGAAGGUGCGGUAACACGUACUGGAGGACCGAACCCACUAACGUUGAAAAGUUAGGGGAUGAGCUGUGGAUAGGGGUGAAAGGCUAAACAAACUUGGAAAUAGCUGGUUCUCUCCGAAAACUAUUUAGGUAGUGCCUCGUGUCUCACCUUCGGGGGUAGAGCACUGUCAUGGUUGGGGGGUCUAUUGCUGAUUACCCCGCCAUAGCAAACUCCGAAUACCGAAGAGUGCAAUCACGGGAGACAGACAUCGGGUGCUAACNGAAACGAAGUGGGAAGGCUAAAACAGUCAGGAGGUUGGCUUAGAAGCAGCCACCCUUUAAAGAAAGCGUAAUAGCUCACUGAUCGAGUCGUCCUGCGCGGAAGAUGUAACGGGGCUAAGCCAGUCACCGAAGCUGCGGAUGCACGUAAGUGCAUGGUAGGAGAGCGUUCUGUAAGCCUGUGAAGGUGUCUUGUAAAGGAUGCUGGAGGUAUCAGAAGUGCGAAUGCUGACAUGAGUAGCGAUAAAGGGGGUGAAAGGCCCCCUCGCCGUAAGCCCAAGGUUUCCUACGCAACGUUCAUCGGCGUAGGGUGAGUCGGCCCCUAAGGCGAGGCAGAGAUGCGUAGCUGAUGGGAAGCAGGUUAAUAUUCCUGCACCGUCGUAUGAUGCGAUGGGGGGACGGAUCGCGGAAGGUUGUCCGGGUGUUGGAAGUCCCGGUCCCUACAUUGGAGAUGGCACUUAGGCAAAUCCGGGUGCGUGAUUCAAGGGUGUGGGGCGAGCGACGUUAGGUCGCGAAGCAAUUGGAAGUGGUUCCAAGAAAAGCCUCUAAGCUUCAGUCAUACGAGACCGUACCGCAAACCGACACAGGUGGGCGAGAUGAGUAUUCUAAGGCGCUUGAGAGAACUCGGGAGAAGGAACUCGGCAAAUUGGUACCGUAACUUCGGGAUAAGGUACGCCCUUGUAGUUUGACUGGCUCGCGCCAGAAGGAUGAAGGGGUUGCAAUAAAAUGGUGGCUGCGACUGUUUAAUAAAAACACAGCACUCUGCAAACACGAAAGUGGACGUAUAGGGUGUGACGCCUGCCCGGUGCCGGAAGAUUAAAUGAUGGGGUGCAAGCUCUUGAUUGAAGUCCCGGUAAACGGCGGCCGUAACUAUAACGGUCCUAAGGUAGCGAAAUUCCUUGUCGGGUAAGUUCCGACCUGCACGAAUGGCGUAACGAUGGCCACACUGUCUCCUCCCGAGACUCAGCGAAGUUGAAGUGUUUGUGAUGAUGCAAUCUCCCCGCGGCUAGACGGAAAGACCCCAUGAACCUUUACUGUAGCUUUGCAUUGGACUUUGAACCGAUCUGUGUAGGAUAGGUGGGAGGCUUUGAAACCGGGACGCUAGUUUCGGUGGAGCCGACCUUGAAAUACCACCCUGGUUUGUUUGAGGUUCUAACCUUGGCCCGUGAAUCCGGGUCGGGGACAGUGCAUGGUAGGCAGUUUGACUGGGGCGGUCUCCUCCCAAAGUGUAACGGAGGAGUUCGAAGGUACGCUUGGUACGGUCGGACAUCGUACCUAAAGUGCAAUGGCAAAAGCGUGCUUAACUGCGAGACCGACAAGUCGAGCAGGUGCGAAAGCAGGACAUAGUGAUCCGGUGGUUCUGUAUGGAAGGGCCAUCGCUCAACGGAUAAAAGGUACUCUGGGGAUAACAGGCUGAUACCGCCCAAGAGUUCAUAUCGACGGCGGUGUUUGGCACCUCGAUGUCGGCUCAUCUCAUCCUGGGGCUGUAGCCGGUCCCAAGGGUAUGGCUGUUCGCCAUUUAAAGAGGUACGUGAGCUGGGUUUAAAACGUCGUGAGACAGUUUGGUCCCUAUCUGCCGUGGGCGUUGGAAUCUUGACGGGGGCUGCUCCUAGUACGAGAGGACCGGAGUGGACGUACCGCUGGUGUACCUGUUGUCUCGCCAGAGGCAUCGCAGGGUAGCUAUGUACGGAAGAGAUAACCGCUGAAAGCAUCUAAGCGGGAAACUCGCCUGAAGAUGAGGAUUCCCUGGAGACUUGAUCUCCCUGAAGGGUCGUUCGAGACCAGGACGUUGAUAGGCUGGGUGUGGAAGCGCAGUAAUGCGUUCAGCUAACCAGUACUAAUUGCCCGUGCGGCUUGAU